Sinocyclocheilus anshuiensis is the source of this 285-nucleotide long non-coding RNA. RefSeq lists it as uncharacterized. The transcript is spliced from 3 exons. The record is from RefSeq and is a predicted model, not a curated record. NCBI's taxonomy places the organism in Eukaryota, Metazoa, Chordata, Actinopteri, Cypriniformes, Cyprinidae.
AGUGUCUGUGGGCGCAGUGUGCAGCGGAAGUUCGUGCCGCUAGUAGCUGCAGUUCAGGCGGAUCCCGUCGGUGUCUGAUCACAAACUUUCUGUCAAACCCGAAAAACACCCGGAAUCCGGUGACAUGGGGGAUAAGGAGUUGAUGUGGGCUCUGAAGAAUGGAGAUCUGGAUGAGGUGAAGGCUCUGCUGGUGAAGGCUGAGGAUGUGAACAGGACUCUGGAAGGAGGCCGCAAGCCGCUUCAUUACGCUGCAGACAGCGGUCAGGCCGAGAUGCUGGAGUUGUG